UGAAUAGCCCACGCAUUGAUAAAUAGCCAGGUGCGACGUGGAAUGUCAAAUCCAGCGACUUCACAGUCAGUGGAUGAAGCGUGUGGGACAAGUAAGGGCGCCGCCGGAAACAAACGAAGAGUCUCAGAGAUCACAUUGUUGAGAUAGGGACACUUGCCAGUAUCUGAUUCCUCAAACACACGCCCUU
This is a non-coding RNA of Arabidopsis thaliana (thale cress), 187 nucleotides long. RefSeq annotates it as other RNA. The record is from RefSeq. The transcript has a single exon. NCBI's taxonomy places the organism in Eukaryota, Viridiplantae, Streptophyta, Magnoliopsida, Brassicales, Brassicaceae.